UACGUAGGGCGCGAGCGUUGUCCGGAAUUAUUGGGCGUAAAGAGCUCGUAGGCGGCCUGUUGCGUCCGCUGUGAAAAUCCCAGGGCUCAACCCCUGGGCGUGCAGUGGAUACGGGGCAGGCUGGAGGCAGGCAGGGGGAGAACGGAAUUCCCGGUGUAGCGGUGAAAAUGCGCAGAUAUCGGGAGGAACACCGGUGGCGAAGG
This 203-nucleotide ribosomal RNA is filed under the name uncultured bacterium. Its description in RNAcentral is "partial 16S ribosomal RNA". It matches the Rfam family "Bacterial small subunit ribosomal RNA", at positions 524 to 721 of the family's 1533-position model. The record is from RNAcentral.